This 278-nucleotide ribosomal RNA is filed under the name uncultured bacterium. RNAcentral's name for it is "partial 16S ribosomal RNA". It matches the Rfam family "Bacterial small subunit ribosomal RNA", at positions 78 to 354 of the family's 1533-position model. The record is from RNAcentral.
CCUGCGCCUGCCGGCGACCGGCGCACGGGUGAGUAACACGUAUGGAACCUGCCCGCCACAGGGGGAUAACUCGGGGAAACCCGGCCUAAUACCCCAUGCCGCCCGGACCGGGCAUCCGGUCCGGGCGAAAGGAGGAAUCCGGUGGCGGCUGGGCAUGCGGCGCAUUAGCUUGACGGCGGGGUAACGGCCCACCGUGGCGACGAUGCGUAGGGGUUCUGAGAGGAAGGCCCCCCACACUGGGACUGAGACACGGCCCAGACUCCUACGGAAGGCAGCAG